Long non-coding RNA from Hemibagrus wyckioides, 2360 nucleotides. RefSeq lists it as uncharacterized. The record is from RefSeq and is a predicted model, not a curated record. The transcript has 3 exons. Lineage: Eukaryota; Metazoa; Chordata; Actinopteri; Siluriformes; Bagridae.
UGUGGAGAAGAGCAGGUUUUGUUUCAUUUCUGGGGAAAAAAGCAACACUUCUGUACAGCUAAAAGUAAAGCAUGUUUUUGUCUUCAGUGCAUCUGAAUGACCGUUAGUGGCUGAUCAUCAAGAACAACAUACUGGAUAUCCUGGUACACACGUCACAGAUCCCACGGCAUGCCGCAGCACAGGCAGAUAUUGCAAGUCCAUUGCUCAACUCGGCUAGGAACGAGGACACGUCAGUGCUCUGAGAUCUGCGGCGGAACAAUGCGCGCCUCCGUGCAAUAUGUCCUCCAAGCCGCAUCCUGUUGGGAGUGCUGACCGACAUGUGUUCCUGUGUUGGAAUGGGACACGGCGCAGUUCUGGCCAGCUCUUUCGAGGCCAUAUGGGAUGCUGGCUCAGAGAGACAGUGCGGCAAAACUCUAAUGAGCAUGGCAAGCUGAAUCUGCACACGAAUGAUAUUAGUGCUGCAGACUUAAAUAACAAAAAAAGGGGAUGUAUAGGGGACAUGAGUCUAAAAAAAAUGUGCAAACACAUCCCUGCAUGGUCACACCAUGCUGCCCCUGCAUGCUCACCCCAUGCCUAUCACUCCAUCAACACACACCUACACAAAACCCACAUGCCCACACACUGCAAAAGGCCCACACACACUGGGCUUUGGCAUUGAUGCUGUAGGACAGAGAUCACAGGGUUUUGCGCUUACACCAGGAGGCUUUCCUGUCCUCUUGUGUCGCAAAUAAUGUCAAGCUAUCACACUUCCUCUGAAACAUUCUCAAUAUUCUCUGAAGCUUUUCUUGGACAGCUACAGCUUCUUAUCCUACAGGGUUUUCGAAACGUUUGAAGGCAUUUGUAUGCUUCCAUACUUAGGAGCUUCUAAGCUCUAAGUUCUGUUGAAUAUUCUCUCCUCAAUAUCAAUUCAUUUUCCACGCACCUAUUCUGACAGAUUACCAUGUUAACACGCCGCUGUCAUCUUAAAACUGAUGGAAGACGUGCUCUAAUUAAUGAAUUAAUACAUUCACGUCACAUGACAUCAAUCUGCACGCUGAUGUCUUACCUAAACUGCUCUCACUAAUUCAGCAUGUUUUAUUAAGAUAUUUUGUAAGCACUCUACAACCUCGCUAUCAAACCGGCUACAUCCGGACCGCAGACGAACGAGCUGGCCCGCGUCUAAAGGUACUGCCAGCCUGCCUGGGGUAAUACAUCACGAAUUCUGUAAGGACAAUACGAAGAUGCUGAAAGCGGGUACAAAUGCAUCGCAGUUGCACAGUGAGCACUUUGUUCCAAAUAAUGUUGUCAUCAAUUUUCAUCUUUUGUUUAAACAUAUUAGUCUUUUGGACAAGAUAGGUCAUAUUUCAGCAGCUUGAUAAAUUCUUCCUUCUAGACUUUCUCACAGAACGUGCACUUAAUUAAUUACACAACCUUUAAUUGGACAGAUUAUUCCUAAUGGUUGUUGCAGUGCUAAAUGUACAAUCUUGCAGCAGGCUCAGGAGUCAUUAUUUUAAUGCCACUUUCUCGGCUGGUUGUAAUCAGUAUAUUUCAAAUAAUAAAUCAGCUUCACAUUGUGAGAAAUAUUUGCCCCUAAAAUAGAUAAAUUGCAUGCAGAUUUCAGUAGGGAUAACUUUCCCCUAUUUUCCUGCACCUAUAUUGCCCCCUUUACACUUGCACAUGUAGUGCUUUAUUAAGGGCAGAUCUAAUUUCUUUCUUUCUUUUUUUUGCAGCUUUAUGAUGUCUGCAGGCAUUUGGGUGUUUAAUUAGGGUGGUAAUGUCCGGUGAUGUACAUGAUGGAUUUUAACGGAAGCCAACUUUAACUAUCCGAGGCAAUGCCAUAAAUUAUCACCUUGGCUAUAAUGCUUGUGUGAGUUUGUUUAAUUAGGAUGUCCACCGGAGGAAGCGCCUGGGUGUUGCUGGGUUUGCACAGGAAAUGCCAAUUACGUGAACACUGUGUGCUUUUACAUUCCACUAAAGAAUUUCAGUGAGUAAUAAUAAAGCACUAAAAAGAGUCUGAUUAUAGUGCAUGCAUGGACUGGGUUUUUAUGCUUUUCUUUGCUUUUUUGUUCUAAAUAUUAUAUUAGAUAUUAAUCAUACAUACAUUUAGAUUUACUUGAAUCAUUUGCCAGAUUUCUUUGUCCAGAGCAACCUACAGAAGCUUAAAAUAAUAAAAGCACUUAACUGGAAAAGGAAAAGAAAAGCUGUGUAUAUAACCAGUAUACAGUGUAUACAGUCUGUAUAGCUGGAUGUGUAUUACAGGAAAUUGUUAAUAUGCAACGGUAAUAUGAUUAUCUGCUUCUCUGUGUUGUCUCAUAAAAGUGUUUACAGGUAAGAAAAAUGUAUUAAAGGAGAAAUUGAAAGCUCCUUUAGAAUAACACUAU